AAGCUAUUUCUACCCAUGUCGGCAUAUUCAUUAUACAUAUAUAUAUAUAAUUAUUAUUCUCUCUCUACAUAUAUAUGUAUCACUACCACUCUGAUCGACGAUAUGUUACUAUCACGCUCAUCCAACGUAUAUGUACAUAUCAUGUAUCGUUCGUCUAUCGUGAGACCAUUGUACACACGCAUCUCGCGGUGCAGAGAUGCGGGUGCACACGCAUAUUACGAAACGGGAUCGACAUUGUUCUAUAUUCUCUCUUUCACAUAUCUUAUUCUUCUACUUUUCUUUUUCUUUUUGUUUGAUUUUCUCUUUCUUAAAAUCGCUGCCCACUGUUGUGACGUAGUUUGCUUGCAAGGUAGAGAGUUAUUAUUGCGCUGCCAGUGGCUUCACAGUUCUCUUGCCCCGUGUCAUUUCAUGCUUCAGUCCCCCUCGCCGCCGCCGCCACCCUUGUUCCACCCAUUUGCGUAUGAUACUUCACGCCGCGCCGUUAUGCCAUCACGCGCCACCCCGCCAGAAAGGGAAAACGAACGAUUUCCCAGGGAAAAACGAGUUGUCGUCAAAAGCAAACGUUUCCCCUUGCUGUAUACAGUAGGAGGCUGAGCACACGGAUGUCCCGUCUAGACACGAGCAUUUUUGCGACCGACGUGACAGAAUUCCUUUUCAUGGACGAGUAAUCUGUGUAAUCGUUAGUUACAAUGGUUAUAACAUGUUACAACGACACGGUCGCGAAAAUGCGACGAGUGGUCGAGCCUCGCGUAUCACCGGCUCGAUUACGCACCAACCUCGCACGAAAAUGAUCUUUUUACCCUCAUGUAUUCGCAAGAGAAAGCCGGACGAAACGUGUAUCAGGUACGGUAUAUCGAAUUGAAGCAAGCUGACACGGGCUGCGAUCAGAGUGCACACGUAUCAUCGGAUCGCCGUGAGAUACCUCGCGUUUCUUCAUUCCACCUAGGAAUUAUACAAUUUUAUUUAUCGUCUUGAACUUCGGCGCUUCCCGCUGCUUCUCGUCGCCUCAACAAAAGAAAAGAAGGACAAUCGAUCGAGAUUUUUUACGGCCCAUGACGCUUACGGUUUCGAAUACAAUCACGUUCAAACACGAACAGCACACGUUCCAGAGGUAUACAUACACACGAACAUGGCCCAAUGUAUUAGGCACGCGUAUCGUCGUGUUCACCAGCACGCAAAAAAGAGCACACGUGUACCUUCACUUUCACGCUUGCACAGCACCAACGUGCUCGCGGACGCUCGUGUCCCGUGUACGCGUCCUUGUUCCGAUCUGUAGUACAAAACGUCCAAAAGCUCCGAUUAAUCGAAUAGAAAAAUCGCGAAAACAUUAAUUUCGAUUAAACAAUAACGAACAGCCUGUAUGCUCCAGAUAUUAAAAUAACAUUAAAAUAACAUUACUAUACUCUUUAUUAUAUUACUUGUUGCUAUAGUCGUAAAGUAAAUUUACUUAUAUUAUAUUUCUCUCUAGCUAAAGCAACUUUAUGUAUCGCGUCCUAUAUUUCUCACAUUUAAAAAAAAAGCUCCAUUCUUCCAACGAAGCCCUCGUUUUUAACAAUAUACGAAGGGAUGAAAGGGGUAAAACGUUGCGUUAAAAAUAGAGUGAAACCUUAUUUGUUGUUUCAAAUUUCCUUUUAAGGGGAGAAAGAUACAGGUACGGAUCGUCGAUUCUCAGCGUCUUGGAAACGAGCUUUUGGACGGUUUCCUAGCAGUGGUCAGAGCAACGCUUAUUCUAGCAGCAUUCUAUAUACUGUCGCUAUUUCGUUACCACCGUAGCAAAUGUUUGUAUCGUUACUGUCGUUACUAUUCCACGAGCACCGCCGCCAUCAUGUUCUUUCGCAUAUCUCACGUUAUUUCGUCGUAGUCGUUCCCAAAACGUCGUUCGCGUGUAGUUAGCACUACAUACCCAGUCUGUAGCCUAAUCUCGGAUGCGAAGUCGCCGCGGAGAUCUGAACAAGCUUCACCGAAUAACUCCUUCUGUCAGGCAGGAGAACGUAAUAAGAAAAUCUUUUUAUCGCGAAUGACUUGGUUUCCUAGGAUUUUUCAAUACGUUAGAGAGAAAAGAGUUCCACUGAAGGUAUUUGUCGAACAUAAAAAAAGAGUGCAAGUUAAUAAAGCGUGUUAUAUUUGAAGCAAAAGUGAGUAGAACAGGUGAAUAACGGUCAAGCAAGGGAUGCAGUAAAAUAUCCCAUUAGUAUUCAUCCUUAGCGGAACAGUAGAAUAGUUCCUCGAGAGUCAGACAUGCUUAACUCGCAACACAAGAGGACGCGUUAAGCGUAACAAAUUCAAGCACAGAAAGUAGUUCAAGCACGCGUACCUGCACACAAUAACGAGAAGCUGGAAACGGAGCUUGGAAAACGCAACGCGAUUUCCAUAACGGAGAGAAUAUUCAAAAUACGUUUCUCUUGCAGAACGAGAGGAAAUAAUAAUUGGAAAUUCACGGCGACGUCGCAUCCGUUCGAACAUUCUCCGAUAAUCCUGCAUCUCCGUGUAUGUGCCUGCGUUUUAGAUCUAGGAUUUAGGUGAAGUCUACGUGGCUUGAGUGGUAAUUUACAGAUAUUUAGCGAGAGGGGAAUUCACGCGAAAAUAAGCAGAGAACUCAUUUAAGCAUUCUCAAAGAAUCAUUUAUGAUACCGGUCGGACAGAGCAUCGAUAAAUCAAAAGAAAUACAUUUUAACCCGACGUGUUAUCAUCACAUCUUUCUCUUAUUCUUUCUUUCUCUCUUUUUUCUUGCACCGGAAGGAUGCACCCUCCGUAGUGCAGCCUUCCAUCAUCGUGUUCGAUCAUCUAGGUCGGGCACCGAGAGUGAGAUGUCGAAACGAACAAUGCACCAGCACCAAGACCUAUCUCGUCACCGACAUUUUUCUUGUGCCGUACGAUUUAGUAGCACCUUCUUACGAGUCCGAUUUGUUCACCCACGAUCUAAGAUCCCAUCGAUCCCGUUCAUGACUGACAUACUUCAUCCCAGAAGAAACGAAUGGAAGAAAGGAUGCUUAUGCAUCUUCGGAUGCACAUUGGACUCAAUACGUGACGUUGCAUCAUGGUGAUGCUGUACGUGGCGCAAUUUUGUUAUAACAACGGUUAUUGCUAAGAUUGCAAACGAGAAUCGAAUAGAUUCUGGCAGAUUUUGGUUUUAUGGAAGAGGGGAUUUUAUUUUCAGCUUUCUUUCGCUCGUGGAUUUUGUUGGGCGAAGAAAUCGAUCGAUUCGUCCGGAUGGUUUAUUUUCGUUCAAACGAAGAGAACGCUGCGCACUUAAUUGGAACAUUAUUUACUUUGCACACUGGCAAACGACGAUUAACAGAGCUACGAUGAUAAUUGUUUCCAGGAUUAAAAUCGUGUUAGAGACAAACGUAUUUUUUUAGUAGCGCGUGCUUCUUUCUCGUUUACGGUCGAUAGGGUUUUGUUGGUUUUCGAUUUAGUUAGUUCCUUUCACGGAACCUCUCGAGCUUAAUCAAAGACGAAACGCAAGAAGUCGAGGGCAUAGCGUUAAGCUAUUUAUCGAGGAAGCGAAACGUGUCAGAAAGCCAAUGAAGUAUGUCAAGCCGUGGCUAACAUCCUUGACAAAGCAUGCGACAGGAAUCAGUCUCCCAGAAACGAGAUAUUCAAGAGUAUAGACUCUCUCCCUUCUCCAUCGUCGUUCUCUUACUCCCUGCCCUCUGGUACUCUGUUUCUUUAUUCUCUGUCUGUCUUUUUCUCUUGUUCUGCCUUUCUCUUUGCACCCUGCGGAUCGAACGACGACUGUACGAGACGUCGACGACAAAGACUUUGGCAAAAAAAAUAUAGACGGUUGAUCGGGGAAAGUACAGAGAAAUAGGAAGAAAAAGAAACAAAGAACUGAACGAAUGCAAUGAUAAAUCAUACAAAAAUUUAAAAAUAUGUUUAUAUAUAUAUGUGUGUGUAUAUAUAUAUACACAUAUAAAUGAAAGAACAAAAUGUGCUGCGAUUAAAAUGCGUGGAAUGAGCUGCUUUGGAUGUGUAGGUGAUAAAACGUUUAGCAACCCCUAACGGGGGGAAAUUCACGCCCGCAUCCGCCCCUUCGUCACUUACCCCGUUCUAACAAUAACAACUACUAUUACAACAACUACCACAUUAUCGACCAAUCAACUGUCAUAACUACCGCCGUGAGAAAAAUACUGAAUCAUCAUCAUUAUCUUCAUCAUCGACAACACCAUCAACACCUUCGAUCAUUACCAUCAACCGGUCAUUAAAGUCUCCUCUGAAAUUAGUGGCCAAAGACAUGCACGUGACCUCUUUCCCAGAUCCAGGCCCUGCCAGAGAAGACCGAACAGGUACACUGAUGACACGAUUAAGUCUCGAUAAGAAUUAAUCUCGAAUCGACAGGGAACGAAGCGUACACUCUGAAAUCACUACCCACCCGAUGAACCCUCUCGAGCAACCUCCAUUGAGUAGCACGUAAAUCGGGUCGAUUCGUUUUUCACGAAACGAGAGCGGACCGUUGAUGUUUCUUUGCUAACUUGCUAACUGUGUUUCUUUACGUCGGCCCAGUGAACAGGAAUUUCGCGCAAUUGGAACUGGUCGAGAACGAGGAUAAGUCGGGUGCCUGGAAAUAGAUCGCGUUCGACGAAGCACAAUGCGAAAAUAACUGGGAAUCAACGUGGAACCGGAGGUUGUAAUUAGAAAGGGAUGGUAAUUUUUUAUUUUCACGGUGUACGAAGUAGUAUUAAAUGGAAAAAUUGAUUAAAUUAAAUAAUUUCGCUAUAUUUUAAAAUAACGGCUGGAUAGGAUAGUUCCUGUAGAUUAAUUAUAAAAGAAAAGUUGAACGAAAUUGUCUCGCUUUUAUCAGAAAGGUAUAAAAUCUGUGUAAAAUAUUGUUUUACAUUUCUCGAACUAAACUCUAGGGAAUCGAAUGAAAACUCUCGACGAGUUUCUUUGCGUGAAAUCUGUAACUUCCACGUCAAAACGCCUUCGACAAAAAAAUAGCGACUUACACGUAUAUAUUACAUGCGCGUCUCAACUUUUGUGUGUAUACACCUGCUGGAGAUCGUGCCUUCGGAAAAGCCACGGUACGUAUGCCACACAAUCCGCGAAAUUCGAGUCAAAAGUCACGCCAAUCCCUGCUAGUCUCGUUUGCUUAUUUUCCUGUUCGAUAUUUGCCUCGUGCGGUUUUCAUAUCGUGAAACAGUUCGGAAUAAAAAUCGAUCGAUGAUCGGAAAAUAUUUGUUUCAUACGUGACCAAUCUUUUUCAGUUUUGUCCCAAAUUAUUUUAUAGAUUUUUCGCGACAAAUGAAAUUUAUGAUUAAACCGCUAAGUCUGCGAUAUUUUUCACCAGUAGUUUCACAGUUGGAAACAUUUUUAAUCAAAUCGCUAUUUUCGUAUGGUCGCGAGUUUCCAGUGAGAUAGAAGAUAUUGUAUUAAAAUCGUCGAUGGACAUCUCGAUUCUAUCUGUGACAUGGUUCGAUUGAUAUCAAUUACAAAAAAAAAAAGAAAAAAAAAGUAUUCGUGGAAAGAAUAUCAGGAAAAUAUGCAGUAUGGAAGACCGUGUACAUAGUCGGCUCUGUGUCAAUCACAAUAUCGCAACACCUUGCAACGAGACCAAACGAAUCCAUAUUUGACACCAUCAACAAACACCAUACAUGAAACUGCUUAAGUUGGAUCGAAUACGGUUGACGAUGCACCUGGAAAUUAAUGCACAUUCACUGCUUUCAACGUGUGCACUAUUCGGACAAGACAAAGAGAUUCUCGGUGUAAGGCACAAACAGAAUCACGGAUAUUAAAAAAAAAAAAAACGAAAAUUAGAAAAUGGAUAGGAAAGAGAAUAAAAAUGCUCCGUGCAAGAGCCAUGGCUGCAAUAUUUUUCUCGUCUUUCGAUUAAAGUCUAGAGACUGAAAAAUUGAAUAAAGUUAUGCAUACGAGAGAGAGGUGAAUCGUCGCAUUGAUAGCCUCGAACGGAGCGAACGUUUAUUCCAAACGGCACUCGACUCGAUUUUGACGAUCUGAAGCUCUGGAAGACAAGGGAUAGCAUCGAGCCGUGCGAGACUUUUGAUUCGUCCCGUAAGAGAAACAUUUUCAUACGAUCAUUUUCUUUGAUAUGUGCUACUGUUCAUUCUCACGUCACGUGUGCACCGGUUAAAAUGAUCAUCGGUAGAACCUAGAAAGUUUUGUGAUUUAUUUGCUUCGUGGCUAACGAAAUAUCCAACGAAAUAUCUGUCAAAUUCUUCGAUAUUUGAAAUUUGAAAUUUUUAAUUUUGCUAUAACAUCGUUCCAACAUAGUUUUCAAGUACCAUAAAAUCGCAUUGUACAUUUUUCGCGAUAACGAGUUUGGUUUCGACAGCAUGACACGAUAUUGUCAGAGGGGCAAUAUUUUACAAAAUAUUUCACGUUCUACCAUCGAGUAACUCAUCUCGUGUAUGUACACUCACAUUAUACACACGCGAAUGAAUGGCUACACUAUAUAUAUAUAUUACAUUUUAAUACGAUUACGGAAUGUUUUUCCUCCUUACACGACAUUCACGUACUUUCUCUCUAAAAGGAAUAAAAAACUCACCACGUUUUUCUUUCUCUGUACAUCUACAAGAUACAUAUACCACUAUUAUAUAUUUUUCCUCUUAAUUUCUUGAUCUGGUCAUCUCCGCUGUGACUCACUGUAUGUUUUUACCACCCAGUUAUAUAUUAUAUACUCUCUUCUCGUUCUUGUACAUCUCAGACACGUUCUUGCUCAUCACGACUAACCGCUAUCAUGGCCAUUCGUCGUAAUCGAUGCACGAGCAGCGGGACGGUCCGAAAGUCGUCAAGUCGCGUCAAGGCGAGCCGAUCCCAGGCCCAAGGGAGGACUUUGCGACUGUUUGGCACCGACCUGAUGCGACAUGCGAUAAUACGACUUCAUUCUCCUCGCGUAAUCUACUGUCUUAUCCUCUACCGUUUAUAUCUCUUGUGUUUUGUCCAUUGUGAGUGGUUGCAAGCCGAAUUUCUUACUCUACCAUCAUUUUCUAAUAGCCACGUUUCGACGAGAUUAUUCGAACGUUUAACAUCGAUGUACGACGAUUAAUUAAUUAUUUAAUAAAAAUAAUACGCGAAAGAAUUACGCGAUUGGUAGAAGAACGAGUACGCUGUUUAAAAAUAAAUCUCACCGAUUGUUCAACGAGGUAAAUACGAAUCUGUUUGCAAUCACUCGAGGGAUUCAUCGUACAUACAGGCCACAUACUCGCCGAAAUGCGUAUCCACGAAUCGCGAUCAUCUCCAACACGCUCACACCAUCAUCGAUCCAAAAAGACGCGAAACCUUCCAGCACUUUUCUUUCGGCACUACUUAGCUUCACAGUGCUCUUGCGCAGAGAUCGAAUUCACCGUUGUCUGAUCGCACCUGAACGUGUCGUUAGCAUCCAUCAAUACGAGUCGUGGAUACGCAUUGCUCGUACUCAUCUUGUCCAUGCGACGUGGCCGCGUUUCGAAAGUAUCCUCUGAUCGACAAAGCUCGCGCCGCGAUCGUUGCAUUGGUUAGUUUAAUGUACGCGAUUAGGAUGCCUCGGGAUUAAACGAUCGGCGAACAAUAACUGAGAGGAUAGGAGGCAAAGAACGAAAGGGAAAGAGAGUCGUCGAAACGCCGCGCGCAGAAAUAUGGACAACGAUGUCGGCCGUACGUCGCGGUGGGCGAAAGAACUGCGGCGGCGCCCGGCGUUCGCAAGAGGAUCUUUCUAUCGUGGAAAGAACAAGAGAAUUCAAAAAUUCGCAUCCAAUCGAAAGAUCGAAGGCUCGGAGAUGAGAAAAGACAAUCGAAAAAAGUAACAAAAAAAAAAAAAAAAUAAAGAAUUGGAAAA
Long non-coding RNA from Bombus terrestris (buff-tailed bumblebee), 7771 nucleotides. RefSeq lists it as uncharacterized. The transcript has 2 exons. The record is from RefSeq and is a predicted model, not a curated record. NCBI's taxonomy places the organism in Eukaryota, Metazoa, Arthropoda, Insecta, Hymenoptera, Apidae.